GACGAACGCUGGCGGCGUGCUUAACACAUGCAAGUCGAGCGAUGAAGUUUCUUCGGAAAUGGAUUAGCGGCGAACGGGUGAGGAACACGUGAAGAAUCUGCCCUCCACUUUGGGAUAACACAGGGAAACCUGUGCUAAUACCGAAUAUUGAAACAUAAGUGGCAUCACUGAGUUUUGAAAGAACUUCGGUGGAGGAUGACUUCGCGGCCUAUCAGCUAGUUGGUGAGGUAAUGGCUCACCAAGGCAACGACGGGUAGCCGGCCUGAGAGGGCGACCGGCCACACUGGGACGGAGACACGGCCCAGACUCCUACGGGAGGCAGCAGUGGGGAAUAUGGGGCAAUGGAGGAAACUCUGACCCAGCGACGCCGCGUGCGGGAUGAAGGCCUUCGGGUUGUAAACCGCUUUCAGUAGGGAAGAAGCGAAAGUGACGGUACCUACAAAAGAAGCACCGGCUAACUAUGUGCCAGCCGCCGCUGUAA
Molecule: ribosomal RNA, 481 nt
Filed under: uncultured bacterium
Lineage: Bacteria
Description: partial 16S ribosomal RNA
Rfam family: Bacterial small subunit ribosomal RNA
Source: RNAcentral